ACUCCUGUGGCUCAGUUGGUAGAGCAUGGUGUUUGCAACGCCAGCAUGGUGUGUGCAACGCCAGGGUUGUGGGUUCGAUUCCCACGGGGGGCC
Molecule: transfer RNA, 93 nt
Filed under: Salmo salar (Atlantic salmon)
Lineage: Eukaryota; Metazoa; Chordata; Actinopteri; Salmoniformes; Salmonidae
Rfam family: tRNA
About the family: Transfer RNA (tRNA) molecules are approximately 80 nucleotides in length. Their secondary structure includes four short double-helical elements and three loops (D, anti-codon, and T loops).
Source: Rfam by way of RNAcentral